This 432-nucleotide ribosomal RNA is filed under the name uncultured bacterium. Its description in RNAcentral is "partial 16S ribosomal RNA". It matches the Rfam family "Bacterial small subunit ribosomal RNA", at positions 338 to 795 of the family's 1533-position model. The record is from RNAcentral.
CCUACGGGAGGCAGCAGUGGGGAAUUUUGGACAAUGGGCGAAAGCCUGAUCCAGCAAUGCCGCGUGUGUGAAGAAGGCCUUCGGGUUGUAAAGCACUUUGUGAGAACUUACGGUACCGGAAGAAUAAGCACCGGCUAACUACGUGCCAGCAGCCGCGGUAAUACGUAGGGUGCAAGCGUUAAUCGGAAUUACUGGGCGUAAAGCGUGCGCAGGCGGUUUGUUAAGACAGAUGUGAAAUCCCCGGGCUCAACCUGGGAACUGCAUUUGUGACUGGCAAGCUAGAGUAUGGCAGAGGGGGGUGGAAUUCCGCGUGUAGCAGUGAAAUGCGUAGAUAUGCGGAGGAACACCGAUGGCGAAGGCAGCCCCCUGGGCCAAACUGACGCUCAUGCACGAAAGCGUGGGGAGCAAACAGGAUUAGAUACCCUUGUAGUC